RNAcentral lists this ribosomal RNA (420 nucleotides) under bacterium. Its description in RNAcentral is "partial 16S ribosomal RNA". It matches the Rfam family "Bacterial small subunit ribosomal RNA", at positions 355 to 776 of the family's 1533-position model. The record is from RNAcentral.
UGGGGGAUAUUGCACAAUGGGCGAAAGCCAGAUGCAGCGACGCCGCGUGGGGGAUGAAGGCUUUCGGGUUGUAAACCUCUUUCGCUAUCGAACAAGGCCCGCUUAGGGUGGGUUGAGGGUAGGUGGAGAAGAAGCGCCGGCUAACUACGUGCCAGCAGCCGCGGUAAUACGUAGGGCGCGAGCGUUGUCCGGCAUUAUUGGGCGUAAAGGGCUUGUAGGCGGCUUGUUGCGCCUGCUGUGAAAACGCGGGGCUUAACUUCGCGCGUGCAGUGGGUACGGGCAGGCUUGAGUGUGGUAGGGGUGACUGGAAUUCCAGGUGUAGCGGUGGAAUGCGCAGAUAUCUGGAGGAACACCGAUGGCGAAGGCAGGUCACUGGGCCAUUACUGACGCUGAGGAGCGAAAGCAUGGGUAGCGAACAGG